Molecule: ribosomal RNA, 988 nt
Filed under: Acinetobacter baumannii
Lineage: Bacteria; Pseudomonadati; Pseudomonadota; Gammaproteobacteria; Moraxellales; Moraxellaceae
Description: bacterial SSU rRNA
Rfam family: Bacterial small subunit ribosomal RNA
Source: RNAcentral
ACUGCAGUCGAGCGGAGAGAGGUAGCUUGCUACUGAUCUUAGCGGCGGACGGGUGAGUAAUGCUUAGGAAUCUGCCUAUUAGUGGGGGACAACAUUUCGAAAGGAAUGCUAAUACCGCAUACGUCCUACGGGAGAAAGCAGGGGAUCUUCGGACCUUGCGCUAAUAGAUGAGCCUAAGUCGGAUUAGCUAGUUGGUGGGGUAAAGGCCUACCAAGGCGACGAUCUGUAGCGGGUCUGAGAGGAUGAUCCGCCACACUGGGACUGAGACACGGCCCAGACUCCUACGGGAGGCAGCAGUGGGGAAUAUUGGACAAUGGGCGCAAGCCUGAUCCAGCCAUGCCGCGUGUGUGAAGAAGGCCUUAUGGUUGUAAAGCACUUUAAGCGAGGAGGAGGCUACUUUAGUUAAUACCUAGAGAUAGUGGACGUUACUCGCAGAAUAAGCACCGGCUAACUCUGUGCCAGCAGCCGCGGUAAUACAGAGGGUGCAAGCGUUAAUCGGAUUUACUGGGCGUAAAGCGCGCGUAGGCGGCUAAUUAAGUCAAAUGUGAAAUCCCCGAGCUUAACUUGGGAAUUGCAUUCGAUACUGGUUAGCUAGAGUGUGGGAGAGGAUGGUAGAAUUCCAGGUGUAGCGGUGAAAUGCGUAGAGAUCUGGAGGAAUACCGAUGGCGAAGGCAGCCAUCUGGCCUAACACUGACGCUGAGGUGCGAAAGCAUGGGGAGCAAACAGGAUUAGAUACCCUGGUAGUCCAUGCCGUAAACGAUGUCUACUAGCCGUUGGGGCCUUUGAGGCUUUAGUGGCGCAGCUAACGCGAUAAGUAGACCGCCUGGGGAGUACGGUCGCAAGACUAAAACUCAAAUGAAUUGACGGGGGCCCGCACAAGCGGUGGAGCAUGUGGUUUAAUUCGAUGCAACGCGAAGAACCUUACCUGGCUUGACAUAGUAAGAACUUUCCAGAGAUGGAUUGGGCCUUCGGGAACUUACAUACGGGC